RNAcentral lists this ribosomal RNA (465 nucleotides) under uncultured bacterium. RNAcentral describes it as "partial 16S ribosomal RNA". It matches the Rfam family "Bacterial small subunit ribosomal RNA", at positions 338 to 795 of the family's 1533-position model. The record is from RNAcentral.
CCUACGGGAGGCUGCAGUGGGGAAUUUUGCGCAAUGCUCGUAAGAGUGACGCAGCGACGCCGCGUGAAUGACGAAGGCCUUCGGGUCGUAAAGUUCUUUCGACAGGGAAGAACGGUCACUGUGCUAAUCAGCAGUGAAUUGACGGUACCUGCAAAGGAAGCACCGGCUAACUCCGUGCCAGCAGCCGCGGUAAUACGGAGGGUGCGAGCGUUAAUCGGAAUUACUGGGCGUAAAGCGCUCGUAGGCGGUAGGUCAAGUCAAGGGUGAAAUCACCGCGCUCAACGUGGGAACUGCCUUUGAAACUGGCAAACUGGAGUGUGUGAGAGGAUAGUGGAAUUCCAGGUGUAGGAGUGAAAUGCGUAGAUAUCUGGAGGAACAUCAGUGGCGAAGGCGACUAUCUGGCACAUAACUGACGCUGAGGAGCGAAAGCGUGGGUAGCAAACAGGAUUAGAUACCCCAGUAGUC